This is a non-coding RNA of Lonchura striata (white-rumped munia), 700 nucleotides long. Lineage: Eukaryota; Metazoa; Chordata; Aves; Passeriformes; Estrildidae. The record is from RefSeq and is a predicted model, not a curated record.
UGGUCUCAGUGAGCGUCCACCCAAUUAGCGCUCGGAAUCCAUCGGUUGUCUGGAGGGUGCAGAUGGACUUCUUUGUGAAGAGGGAAUCUGGAGAUGUCUGGAGGUACCAGACACCGUUUUUCUCUGUGAAGCGGAAAACGCCGGGAGCCUGGGGCUGGUCUUUCCCUGACACGAGCUCCAUGGGCUGCCACAUCUGGUAGGACACCCCGAAGCCUCCAUCAACGACGUAGGCUUUGCCAUCGAUGACAACCUUUACCACCAGCUCCGUAAUAUGCUUGAUCAGCACUAGAUCUGGACUGCAGGAGAUGAAAGUCACUGUUCUUUUGAAAUGUGAGCAGACCAGAUGAAAAGGCAGGUACUGACUAGGUUGUCCCACAAAUGUGGUUAUGAUUUAUGUAGAGAAAAACAUUAGCAGAAGAAUAUUAAAGGUGCAAAUGAAGAUGUUCAUACAAAACUAUUCCUUACCAGGACUAUACACAGUAUCAGCAAUUCCACUUUUGAAAAUGUGUUAUCUUCUUUAUCCUAAUACAUCAGCACAUGGACUUCUGGGUUGCACAACCCAGAGUCUGUAAUUUUUUUAAGUUCUUUUUAAAGAGCUGUAAUCUUACUCCCUUAAAGCAGAAUCUAUUGAUUAUUAGACUGAACUUUUGCUUCCUUUGCACUUGCAAUACUUUUAAAUAAAUUUAAGUAUCUAAAAGCA